AACCUUAUGGACCUGCGGGCGUAUACCUGCGGAAGGAUCAUUACAGAGUUCAUGCCCUCACGGGUAGAUCUCCCACCCCUGAAUACUAUACCUUUGUUGCUUUGGCGGGCCGCUUUGGCUACUGGCUCUGGCUAGUAAGUGCCCGCCAAAGAACCCCAAAACUCUGAAUAUUAGUGUCGUCUGAGUACUAUAUAAUAGUUAAAACUUUCAACAACGGAUCU
RNAcentral lists this unclassified non-coding RNA (221 nucleotides) under soil metagenome. RNAcentral describes it as "partial contains 5.8S ribosomal RNA, internal transcribed spacer 2, and large subunit ribosomal RNA". The record is from RNAcentral.